Molecule: ribosomal RNA, 387 nt
Filed under: uncultured bacterium
Lineage: Bacteria
Description: bacterial SSU rRNA
Rfam family: Bacterial small subunit ribosomal RNA
Source: RNAcentral
GACGAACGCUGGCGGCGUGCUUAACACAUGCAAGCCGAACGGUGAGGGGAAGCUUGCUUCCCGGAUCAGUGGCGAACGGGUGAGUAACACGUGGGCAAUCUGCCCCAGACUUUGGGAUAACUACUCGAAAGAGUAGCUAAUACCGAAUAUUCAGCCUUGCAGGCAUCUGCGAGGCUGGAAAGUUUCUCGGUCUGGGAUGAGCCCGCGGCUAUCAGCUAGUUGGUGAGGUAAUGGCUCACCAAGGCGACGACGGGUAGCCGGCCUGAGAGGGCGACCGGCCACACUGGGACUGAGACACGGCCCAGACUCCUACGGGAGGCAGCAGUGGGGAAUAUUGCGCAAUGGGCGAAAGCCUGACGCAGCAACGCCGCGUGCGGGAUGAAGGCC